Molecule: ribosomal RNA, 497 nt
Filed under: uncultured bacterium
Lineage: Bacteria
Description: partial 16S ribosomal RNA
Rfam family: Bacterial small subunit ribosomal RNA
Source: RNAcentral
GAUGAACGCUGGCGGCGUGCCUAAUACAUGCAAGUCGAGCGAACGGACGAGAAGCUUGCUUCUCUGAUGUUAGCGGCGGACGGGUGAGUAACACGUGGAUAACCUACCUAUAAGACUGGGAUAACUUCGGGAAACCGGAGCUAAUACCGGAUAAUAUUUUGAACCGCAUGGUUCAAAAGUGAAAGACGGUCUUGCUGUCACUUAUAGAUGGAUCCGCGCUGCAUUAGCUAGUUGGUAAGGUAACGGCUUACCAAGGCAACGAUGCAUAGCCGACCUGAGAGGGUGAUCGGCCACACUGGAACUGAGACACGGUCCAGACUCCUACGGGAGGCAGCAGUAGGGAAUCUUCCGCAAUGGGCGAAAGCUUGACGGAGCAACGCCGCGUGAGUGAUGAAGGUCUUCGGAUCGUAAAACUCUGUUAUUAGGGAAGAACAUAUGUGUAAGUAACUGUGCACAUCUUGACGGUACCUAAUCAGAAAGUCACGGCUAACUACGUG